Molecule: ribosomal RNA, 497 nt
Filed under: uncultured bacterium
Lineage: Bacteria
Description: partial 16S ribosomal RNA
Rfam family: Bacterial small subunit ribosomal RNA
Source: RNAcentral
GAUGAACGCUGGCGGCGUGCCUAAUACAUGCAAGUCGAGCGAACAGACGAGAAGCUUGCGUCUCUGACGUUAGCGGCGGGCGGGUGAGUCACACGUGUAUAACCUACCUAUAAUACUGAUAUAACUUCGGGAAACCGGAUCUAAUACCGUAUAAUAUUCUGAACCGCAUUGGGCAAAGGAGAAAUACGGUCGUGCUGUCUCGUAUAGAUGCAUCGGGGCUGCAUGAGCUAGUUGGUAAGGUAACGGCCUACCAAGGCGAGGAGGCAUAGACGACGGGAGAGGGGGAUCGGCGACACUGGAAGUGAGACACGGUCAAGACUACUAAGGGACGCAGCAGUAGGGAAUGUUAGGCAGUGGGCGAGAGCAUGGCGGAGCAACGCCGCGUGAGUGAUGACGGUGUUGGGAUCGUAAAACUCUGUUAUUAGGGAAGAACCUAUGUGUAAGUAAAUGUGCAGAGAUUGACGGUAACUAAUAAGAAAGCAACGGCUAACUACGUG